Molecule: long non-coding RNA, 737 nt
Organism: Coturnix japonica (Japanese quail)
Lineage: Eukaryota; Metazoa; Chordata; Aves; Galliformes; Phasianidae
Source: RefSeq, a predicted model, not a curated record
UUCUGUGGACUCAGGCUAAACACAUUUCUGAACAACCCAUGCAGCAGCAAGUGGUGGGACCACUUUUCAUUCUAUUGCAGUGUCACUCAGACUUCUGACAGAAUGUCACACAGCAAACGGCUCCAUUCCUGGGGGGCACUAACAUCCACAAUGGAUUAGGGGAACAAGCUUGGAGCACCUUCACAGACUAGGAGACAGAAUGAUAGAAGCCUUCAAAUAUAUACAGAGAAGAUAAAAAGAGGAAGAAAAUAAACAAUUCUCCAUGUCCACAAGGGAGAUGCCAAGUAGUAAUGGGUUUAAACUGCAGUCAGGGAAAUCUAGGUUAGACAUUAGAAAAACUUUCCAGAGUAAGGAGAAAGAAGGCAUGGAAGAGAUUGCCUCAGGAUUUCAUGGAGUUUCUAGCAUCGAAGGACUCUCAGAACAGGCACAACAUCUGAUAAUGGAUAAGAGUGUGCAGUGCUGUAAUUAAAGACUGCGCAGUCAUGAAUGCACACAAGUGGACUGAAUCAGUGUUUGCCGUGCAGCUACUUUCAUCUCUCAUCUCCUACUGCCUGCGUGUUUGACUAGGAAACUCCUGUUCUUCACAGUUUCUUCUGUGUAUUACUCAGAAGUUGCUAGGAUGAGACAUCUUGCUAAUUUCAUAGAAAUCAGUGAGAGUUUGGGUGAGUUUACACUGCAAAGCAAUUCAGUUACAAAUAUAUUUGGAUUGUGUGCUAAUAAUAUAUGAAUAAUUUAUG